Molecule: long non-coding RNA, 1090 nt
Organism: Xiphophorus hellerii (green swordtail)
Lineage: Eukaryota; Metazoa; Chordata; Actinopteri; Cyprinodontiformes; Poeciliidae
Exons: 2
Source: RefSeq, a predicted model, not a curated record
CAAUUCUGCUCAAUUAAAAUCUCGCUUUCUCCCAUUCACUUGGAUUCCUCUGCGUGUUGAAUCCGUCGCUCUUUUGUAAAAUCAUCACAUAUACACUGCAAAAACACAAAAUCUUACCAGGUAUUUUUGGUCUACUUUCUAGUGCAAAUGUCUUCGUACACUCAAAGUAAGACAAAACUAACUUACACGUAACUUUUCAGCAAGAAAUAUAAGCUUGUUUUAAGUCAAUAAUUCCUUCAUAUUGAUGAAAGACCGAUGUUUUUAUUGGUGGAUUAUUUCACUUAUUCCCAUAUUAAAAAAAAAAACAAACUUCAAUGUACGUUUGUAAUAUAUUUUUAUUUUCUUGUUAAGCACUUCUGGAUUGAUGCAAACUGCAUUUUGUUGCUUUGUACCUGUGACAUGUGCAAUGACAACAAAGUUUGCUUGUUGCUCCAACGCCUGGAUAAAAUGCCAACUCCUCUUCUGAUGGCUGAAAUAUGAAAAUAUCUCAAGUGUUUACAUUUGUCACUCUGAUGAUUUCUAAUGAUUUAUGCAUGAAUAAACUUAUUCGCUUUAUUUGUAAUUGCAUUUCUAAUUUAAAGGGGACCAAUUACGCAAAAUUCACACUUUGCAUGUUUUUUGUACUUUAAUUUCGGUUUCUAGUCCUUCAAAAAUCAGCUAAAAAAAAAAACACUCAGCUGUUUUUUGGUAAUUAGUUCAUGUUUUUUAGUGUCUGGAAAAGGAGUCGUUUCAAAAACCUCUGGAAUGUAAAGUCAUAAAUAACCAGGCGCUGUGCUGUUACCUAGCAACCACAGCCAAGUCCAGUCUGUUACUUAGCAACCUGACCUGAGUUCCAGCACGUUUGGUCAGCUGGUUUUACCGCUCUAUGCGCUGUCCAAUGGCUGCUGGAAGAGACAAGUGUUUGUUGUUGACCUACCAUCCAGAAUCCACUUGCUGUAUUCUUGUUGUUGUAUAAUUGCUCAUCUGUUUGCAGCCAUUUUCACGCAGAGUGCAAACGUUGAGUUGAUUUAAAGUGACAUGAUGCCCUGAAACAGCUCAUUCUGAAAGGAACAGACUAAAAUCUGAUUAUCUAUGAAAGAUUUUGUGUGAA